GCAAGUCGAGCGAAUGAUGAGGAGCUUGCUCCUCUGAUUUAGCGGCGGACGGGUGAGUAACACGUGGGUAAUCUGCCUGUAAGACGGGGAUAACUCCGGGAAACCGGGGCUAAUACCGGAUAAUAAGAGAAGAAGCAUUUCUUCUUUUUGAAAGUCGGUUUCGGCUGACACUUACAGAUGAGCCCGCGGCGCAUUAGCUAGUUGGUGAGGUAACGGCUCACCAAGGCGACGAUGCGUAGCCGACCUGAGAGGGUGAUCGGCCACACUGGGACUGAGACACGGCCCAGACUCCUACGGGAGGCAGCAGUAGGGAAUCUUCGGCAAUGGGCGAAAGCCUGACCGAGCAACGCCGCGUGAGCGAUGAAGGCCUUCGGGUCGUAAAGCUCUGUUGUUAGAGAAGAACAAGUACGAGAGUAACUGCUCGUACCUUGACGGUACCUAACCAGAAAGCCACGGCUAACUACGUGCCAGCAGCCGCGGUAAUACGUAGGUGGCAAGCGUUAUCCGGAAUUAUUGGGCGUAAAGCGCGCGCAGGCGGUCUCUUAAGUCUGAUGUGAAAGCCCACGGCUCAACCGUGGAGGGUCAUUGGAAACUGGGAGACUUGAGUGCAGGAGAGAAAAGUGGAAUUCCACGUGUAGCGGUGAAAUGCGUAGAGAUGUGGAGGAACACCAGUGGCGAAGGCGGCUUUUUGGCCUGUAACUGACGCUGAGGCGCGAAAGCGUGGGGAGC
Molecule: ribosomal RNA, 729 nt
Filed under: Bacillus sp. CH41b
Lineage: Bacteria; Bacillati; Bacillota; Bacilli; Caryophanales; Bacillaceae
Description: bacterial SSU rRNA
Rfam family: Bacterial small subunit ribosomal RNA
Source: RNAcentral